GUCUAUAUAAACAAGCCAUACCACUCUGGUACCUGCACAGCGUGUUAAUUAUAGCAAUGUUGAUGAAAGCCAAGAUCCAGAAUUGACCUAAGGGCCCAUCAACAGCAAUCAACAGCAGAGUGGACAAAGAAGCUGUGCCGUGCAUUGGCUAGGGGAUGUGGCUCAAUUAGGAUGUUGAUUUAGCAUGCAUGAAGUCCUGGGUUCAAUUCCCAGGACUGCAUACAUUGUGGUGCACAUCUGUAUUCUAGGACCCAGCAGGGAGAGGUAGAAAGAUUAGGAAUUCAAGGCCAUCCUCAGCUGCCUGUCGAAUCUGAAACCAAGCUAGGCUACAUGAGGAAGAAGAGGAAGAAAAUGUGAUGUAUACACACACUAGAGGGGUUGUUUUGUUGUUCUUGUUUUGUUUUUUUUGGGUUGUUGUGGGGGUUUUUUGUUUGUUUGUUUGUUUUGGUUUGUUUUUGUUUUUGUUUGCUUUUCCAGACAGGGUUUCUCUGUGUAGUCCUGGCUGUCCUGGAACUCACUCUGUAGACCAGGCUGGCCUCGAACUCAGAAAUUCGCCUGCCUCUGCCUCCCGAGUGCUGGGAUUAAAGGCUUGCGCCAUCACACCCAGCUUGUUUUGUUUUGCCAUUAAAUACUCACAAAAACAGUUGUGGUGAUUCCUGUUUAUAAUCCUAGCACUUGGAAAGCUGAGACAGGAGGAUUGCCCUGAGUUCAAGUCCAUCUUGGGCUACAGAGGAAGCUACAAAGUAAGACCUUGUCUCAAAUCAAAACCCAAUAUAUGAAAGUAGAGGGGGAGUGAGCGGGCAGGGAACAAGGGUGGGCAGAGACCAUGAAACGGGCAUUUUGUGUGGUAAGUUUUUCAAAUGUAGAAAAUUUUGGAAAUGUUUGUUGUCCUACAUCCCAAAAGUAACCAUAAUGAACAGAUGGUUUCUUGUUCCAGAUUUUUGUUUGUUUGUUGAGACAGGGCAUCAUGUACACCAGGCUGGCUUUGAUCUUACAGAGAUCCUUCUGCCCCAGCCUCUCCAUAGCUGGGAUUACGGUGUGCCCCACCGCUCCCAGCUGUAACCUUUUCUGAUUUUAGGUCCCUGCUUCCCAUGUGCUUUCUCUUUUAGCAGAAGUGAGAAGACAGAGCACUGCAGUUGGCCUUGUAACUAUACCCAAUGCUUUUGAAAAUAUUAUUAUUAUUAUUUAUUGUUAUUUAAUUAUGUGUAAAUAUGAGCACAAGAGUGCAGGUGCCCACAGAGGCUCUGGCCUGGAUAGAGUUACAGACACCUGACAGGGUUGCUGGGAAUUGAACUCUGGCCCUCGGGAGAAACGGUGCAUGCUCUUAACCACUGAGCCACCUCUUCAGCCCCCAAAUUCUUUUCUAAUGUUACACAGUAUGCCUUUGUUCCAAUGGCAACAUUUUGGUUUUUCCUUGUUCAUUCCAAAUGUUGGCAUGAACACAAAACAUCUAAAAAAUAUCCAUGAAAUUCCUAGAAAUCGAACCAAAUCACUCCUUAAUUUUUUGUUUGUUUGUUUUUUGUUUUUUCGAGACCGGGUUUCUCUGGGUAGCCCUGGCUGUCCUGGAACUCACUUUGUAGACCAGGCUGGCCUCGAACUCAGAAAUCUGCCUGCCUCUGCCUCCCAAGUGCUGGGAUUAAAGGCGUGUACCACCACUACCUGGCAAAGAUUUAUUUAUUUUUAUGUGCAUUGGUGUUUCGCCUGCAUGCAUGUCUGUGUGAGGACAUCAGAUCCUUUGGAACUGGAAUUACAGGCAGUGUGUGAACUGCUAUGUGCAUGUUGGGACCUGAACCCAGGUCCUCUGGAAGAGCAGCCAGUGCUCUU
This 1824-nucleotide long non-coding RNA is filed under the name Mus musculus (house mouse). Its description in RNAcentral is "long non-coding RNA chr5:124037747-124039571". The record is from RNAcentral. Lineage: Eukaryota; Metazoa; Chordata; Mammalia; Rodentia; Muridae.